Molecule: long non-coding RNA, 6784 nt
Organism: Alligator mississippiensis (American alligator)
Lineage: Eukaryota; Metazoa; Chordata; Crocodylia; Alligatoridae
Exons: 2
Source: RefSeq, a predicted model, not a curated record
GCGCCCGACGCAAACGGCGUAGUCGCGCACGCUACCUGCGCGAGGGCUUACGGAGUCCCCGCACCUGCCUUCUUACGUAGAGUGCGUAGCGGCUGCUUUUUUUUUCCUCUCCCCUUCUCUCUCACGUACGCCUUUUCCGUAGCUGAGGGGGCCUUUUGUACGCCAGCUCCGCGGCCUCCGCGCGGCCCUCACGCGACUCCCGGAGCCGGGGCUUUGAGGAGCAGCCGCACGGAAAUCCCUGCCCGGGCCCCCCCGUGUCUGGAAGGUGUCGCGCGAGUGCCAUGAUCCAGGACGAUCCGCGGUGGACGCCAGUACGAAUCGAAGCCGAAAUAACAAAUGCGCGUCGGUCGCGGUAGAAAUAGGGACAACCCUUGUCAAAGCAUUGUUCCUACUCCUCAAAUGAACGCGGUCAAAUACAAACACGGUGAGGAACAACCCCUGCAAAAGCAUUGUUCCUACUCCUCAAAUGAACACAAUCGCAUUAAUGCGGUCAAAUACAAACGCGGCGAGGGCCAGCCCUUGUCAAAGCAUUGUGUCUACUCCUAAAAUUAAUAUGAUAAAAUUAACAUGAUCAAAUACAAAUACGGUGAGGGCCAAUCCUUGCGAAAGCAUUGUUCUUACUCGUAAAAUUAACCUGAUCGCAUUAACACGAUCAAAUACAAAUACGGUGAGGGCCAACUCUUGCAAAAGUAUUGUUCCUACUCCUAAAAUGAACACGAUCACAUUAAUGCGGUCAAAUACAAAUGCAGUGAGGGCCAGCCCUUGUCCAAGCAUUGUUUCUACUCCUAAAAGUAAUAUGAUAAAAUUAACACGAUCAGAGACAAAUACAGUGAAGACCAACCCUUGCAAAAGCAUUGUUCCUACUCCUAAAAUGAGCACGAUCACAUUAACACGAUCAAAUACAAAUACGGUGAGGGCCAGCCCUUGUCAAAGCUACUCCUAAAAUUAACACAAUCAAAUACAGCGAUCGAUCAAGUCAUAAACCUGUGAAAAGGUGGUACGUAGGUCUACCAUUGACGCUGUGAAAAAUAUAGUGGUGAGAUUUAUCAGUUAUAUCAAUACUAAAGGGUAUUUGUCUCUAAUUGCUUCAGCCUUAUAAGCAAAAGUUGCAAGAUGGUUUACUAAAUAUUAAUCUGUUUGCUGGAGGAGCCGUAUUCAUUUCUCUCUGCUUGGGAAAUCUGUCAGUUUCUGCAAGAACAGGGAUCGAUACUUUCUCCUUAUGUCAUUGUAUAAAGGACUUUCUAAAACGUAAUGGAUAGUAUCUUCCAAAACUCCUAGGCAAGCUGGAGACAACUGGACAAAGGUGCUGUCAUAGGAGCACCUGAAACUAAAUCAGAAACUUAAUUGGGACAUGCUGCUAUAUGAACACAGUCAAAUCUAAUGGGUCAAUGUUGCCUGGGGGGUGGGGGAGAAUAAGGGUGUACCCGUUUCGUUUCCACUUCUGAUUCGAAUUGGAAAGAAGAAUGAGACUCAGACACGUUCCUGGAAACUUCAGCUUUCAAAGAAGAUAAAUGCGUGUGUGUUGGGGGGGGGGGGGGAACCCAUAAGUUAACUUCUGAGUAUGCCAAUGUGGCCUGUCUUGUCUGUUUCUGUCUCCUGGAUGGUUAGAUCCUCAAGGUCGGGACAGUCUAUUUUUAAGUAUUUCAUAGGUUUUAUAUGGUGAUGAGCACAUCGUUGGAAUCUAACCAAUUAUACGUAAAAGCAGCACACAAAUCUACAGCGGUCAUGCAGACAGAGAGAGAGGACCAGUGAAAUACUUUUGGGAGAUUUCAGUUGCUUACCACAGAUGUUUAUUAAGGCAACAAAUGUAGAAUUAUUCUGUAAAAAUGUACAUGCCUGAAGUUUACAGCAGUACAAGAAGAUUUUUUGCUAUGUGGUUCUUAGGAGUAAACAAACUCAAAUGUUGUUUGCGAGAAGUCCUUGGAAAGAGCCAAAUAUCACAAAUAAGACAUUGCUGAAUGUGUUCGGUGACCCUAACACAUUGAUGAACACAUUCAGUGAUGAUUUAAAAAUAGGGUUCCAAAGUAGCAAUUUCAUUUUUUUUUAAUUAAAUGGGUUUCUUCUGUUCCAUUGGAAUCAACUGUCCUGUGGUGAAUGCAUUGAGAGGAACAGGAAAAAGUUAGGACCAGAAUGACAGCAAGAGCCAGAAGAUCCAAGAAUGAUGGAUCUUCCCCCCUUAAAUGGGGGGUGGGAAGUGGCUUGUAAAAAUCAGAAAAAUUUGGGAACGUAGACAAAUAAUUAGGAAGUAACGUUAGUAUCUGUGUAGUGUUUCAUAAUAUUUGAGUCAUAUAGACAUUAACUUGUGGUACUCCUGUGAAGUAGAUAAAUAUUACCAUCCUUGUUUUACAGUUGUGGAAAUAGAAAUAAAAAGGGGACCUUGGAAGGAGUUCACUUGUAGCUAAGAUGGGCACUCAGGAGUUUCUGGCUCCCGGCUUUAUACUCAGAUAAUGCUCUUUUAAACCAGAUUGGAGGAAUCAAAAGUUUGGUACAUUUGGCAGCGGGGGGAGAGACCCUAUAAGUCCUUAACAAUGCAAAUAUCCAAACAACAUUGGUUUCUUUUCAUUUUUCUUCAGCUGAACAGAGAACCAGGCACUAUCUAGCAGGGGAAAAACAUUUUAUGUAUCAUUUCUAGACAGACAACUUUCUGAUUUUGUUGAGAGUCUGCAGUUUUUGUGAUUUUGCUUAUUUCACUAGUGUAACAGAAUGCAUCAGAAAGACCAGCUAUGCUCAAAUCCUACUUGCCUCUUAAUGUAUCUAUUUGGAAGUUAGUGUGACUACUCACACGAGCAAGGCAAUCUGCAGGGUUCAGUGCAAGGAGCUGGUUUUAGUAGUGCAGUACAGAAAAAAUUAUUCUAUAUAUUGCAUGUCUGAUAAAGAAAUUCAACUACCAAUAUUAAGUAAAAGGUAGAGACAAGGCAGCAGCUGGUGUAUAUGACCAAUAUAUGAAAGCAAUUUUCAUGAGGACAAGAUAACGACAAAAAAGGAGAGGCGGGUGAAAAGAGGUUUUAUAAGGAAUUGUCGAUUGUCACUGAUUUUAUGUUUGGAGGCGAUGAACCAGACAGUGAAAUUUGCAGUGAGGCAGCCCUAAGGGAUCAUGUACUUCAAUGAUACACCAACAACUACAAAUACUCCAGUGAAGACUAAAUAGCUAUUAGCUGUAGUAAAAGGGGGGGCAUAUAGUGAGCAAGGAUGAAAUGUAACCCAUCAAAUAUCAAGUGCUCGGCAUUGUGUACAGACAAAUGGAAAUGUUCAAACAGAGCUUGGGGGAAGAGGCAUUUCUUUUCCUUUUUCUAACUAAAAAAGAAAAACCUUAUUUAUUAAACUGAUCCAUUGUCUGGUGACCCAGUUCUUCACAGAUUCUAAAUUGUGCCUUCAGACACAUGAACGCAUUUCCCACUAGAGAUAAUGGGGUUUAUCCGUAUGUAUCCGAGGGCACAGUCUCGUCCAGAAUUUGGAUUAAAGUGCUAGAAGUAAAAUUGCAGACAGGGACCCUUUCAGGAAAUUUAUAAAGCAUGUAAGCAGUACCAGGUCAUUCACGAAGACCGGAAAAUAGCAAAAAAUUAACGCACAGGAAAAGGAGCUUUCGGCUUGUCAUCUUCUUAAAUCCAGGCUCUAAUUUAAAAAAAACAAACUGAAGCAUGCUAAUAGUGUCACUGCAAUUAAUGUAACUUCACUGGGACUACCUGUGUUUUUAGUUAGCAGUCUGAUUAAGUAACUUCCUUAAUGGGGGUCUUCAUUUAGAUGAUAAGCCUGAGUGCUGCUACACAAAUUCAAAGCACUUUGAAGGAAAUUUCAAAGUGUGUAGGUUCGGUCGUUAAAAGUUGAUGGGAUGGGACACAAUCUAGAAAACAGUGUCUGAAACAGCUUUUCUAGGUUUUGAUUUUUUUAAGUUAUAGUAAAGUACAGCAAAAUUAGCUUAUAGGAAAAAACGUCACCAGGUAGGGAGAGGGGAAGAAGAGAGCAAGUGCAGAUGGAAAAAGAAAAAUAUGGAGAGUACAUGAGUCAGAUGUCAUCUGACUUGUAUAGAAAAAAAAACCCAUAGGGAGCAGGAUGUGAAAAAGUCAAUAACUCCAAGAUUUGAAAUAAAGGAUUAUAAUAUAAGCAGUCAGAACAGGAAAGUAGGUGGGCAGUGGAUGAAAGCUGUGCCCAGGAAGGGAGAAUAUAAAAAAAACAACAACCAGAGAACAGUCACCGCACAGAGUAGUAGAAAUUAAAGUAACUAAAAAUACAACUGCAAGACUAUUUAAAUAAAAAGAAAAAUAUUUGACCAUUCUGUCAUUGCUGCUGAUGGGGAGAGAGACGGCAGCUGGGAUUUGGUAAAUAAAUUGGGCCUGAGCUCUGUAUCAGUGGUUGUAUCCUUUCUAGAGGGCAUGGAGAGGGGAGACCAGGAAAAUGGGAAACGGGUGAGGGAUGUUUUGAAUUUCUGCCACUUCUCACAGCUAAAAUACUGCCCUGUUUAAAAUCCUUUCUUGUCCUUUAUGAAUGUUACUAUCCACUGAAUUGUGGGCCCACUCAUGGGUCUUACCAACGUUUUAGGCCAAAUUCAGAUCCACCCAUGUAUCCUCACAUAAAACUCUUAAGCUCUCAUGCCAUCCGGGUGAAGGGUUGUUUGUUUGGGUUUUUUACUUGCUUAUUUUUUAAGGCAACUUGUGACCUGUGUAUUUUGUAGCGUGGAUGUUAGAGCUUAGGCAGGCAGCUUCAUUGCCAUCUCACAGUGGUCUGGGCUUGUAUGUUCCAUCCCUUCUACCUGCUUGCUUCCCAUUUGCCUUCUCUGCAUCAGACGGUAGGUAGUUUGCCGGUCAGCUUUAACUCUUUGUGUCAUUCUGAGUGCUCCAUUUUCAUUCAGCCUAGAGCUGCUAGCUGGUUGACCUAUCAUGUGACUGCAGCAGGGUUCAUGAUUUUGGGAGAAGCACCCCAAAUCUGCACUGGUGUGAAAGUGUCUUGCAGAGGCUUGGGGACCAAACAGACAACUGCCUAGUGCAGGUAGUGCCUACAGGGCGCCUUCUGCAAGGCAGAGGAGAGCACUCAUACAUCUGGCAGCACCCUGUGCACCUGCCUCUACUACAAGUGGCUUCUGGAAGUUUGCCACCACCUUGCAGGCAGAACUCUCAGUCCUGCGUGACAGACUGAACUACAAUGAUAGACUGAUCAAAGGCAAAAGAGAUGGAGGGGUUGGAAUCACGAGAGCAGAUCACAGUGCUGGAACAGGCCCUGGAGCAGGCGGCAUGGGCGUAUUCCAGCAAUCUCUUCAGGGCUGGACUGGAAAAGAAGCAGCUCUACAGCCAAUGCUGCGGCCAGGUAAGUAGGCAGGAUUUUCAGGUCAUUUUAAUAACGUAGUUAUUAUGAAGGCUGUUACCUGCAGUGAAAUGGCUUGAGCUUCCUUUGAAGGCAGAAGUUAAUGCCAUCUUCCCUCCCCAGUCUCCUCCCUGACACACACCUUUUCUUUCACUGCUGUGUGUGACCAAGAAUAGGUUCCAACAUGGGGAAACUUAAACAUGUAAGUAGUGAGUCAUUCUUACACAUUUGCAGUGAUUAGUAACGAAUUCUUUACAAGGUUAGCAAAUAUGAGUGCAUAUUUCAGCAUAUGGUGAGCUCUUUCUAAUGUUGGCAGGCUGAUACAGACUUAUACCAUUACUGGUAUUAAAAUGUUUCCCAGACAGCCUGGAUUCUAAGCCUCAGUGUCUGUAUUAAGUGGGAAAAAUCCCUAAUAUAUGGCAGUACAUAGCCUUCUGGUCCUGUUUAUUCAUGACAUGUUAUUCAGGUGGAUGAGGGCAAGCAGAACAAUAGUUCUACUGUUAGCAAACCUCUUCCUAGUUCUGAGUCCUGUUAAUGUUACCUCGCACUUUCUCCUGUUCCUGCUCAGUGCUGCUUGACUACAGAUUCUCAUGUAGGAGAAAUCGGUGACACUACUGGGCAGCACUGACUUUCAAGCUGUCACCCCUGUAGUUUACAAGACCUCUCUAUGCUUUGAUACCCUGUGUACAUAGAUGGCCUGUCCAGCAGUAACAGUCUCUAAGGCGUCCCUGAUCUGAAAUUGUUCGAGUUAGGACUAAUUGCAUUGAGCCCUUCCCUCGCCCCUCCCCCAAACUAGGUCUGAAAGUAGGUUGUUCGGUUUAAAUAUACAAUGUUUACCAUGAGGUGUUAUCAGCCUGUGAGCUGGCAACAUGGCUGGUAGAGGCUCUUGAACAGGCAUGUAUAUAAAAGUAGAAUAAAGGUAUACUAAAGCAAUGAUGUUAUCAAGCUGUGGCAUUAACAUAAUGCAGACUGUAAAAUGAGGGAUUUCUUCUUUCUUUCUGUGGGUGAAAAAUAUGUUCUUUUAUUUCUAUGGCAGAACCUUCCAACUCCUGUGACAAGACAACCUCUCAGGACUCUUGGUGAGAAAAUUGGAACCGUUGAGGUAAAAGGAUGAUGUUCAGGGAUGAGUUGCUAUGUGAAAUGCAUAGCAACUUUGGUCAGAACACCCAGACUGCCAGGACAGGAAGGAUGUUAAAUGCUGAAAGGGAGGAGAUGAUUAUCAAGUAGUAUCUUGAGCACAGCUAAGUUGGGGAGGAAGCAAAACUGAGAGCACUUUGAAUAACUGCUCAUCCUGAUGCCCACCAGACUGCAGUGUUCAGUUCCAGCAUUUGCAGCCUCUCCUCCGCACCAUCAUGUCCUGCAGCCAUUGUGUACAUUAGGGGAUGGGUGGAUUGUGAAUCACUCUAUGAACUAGAAUAGGCAGAUCUUUCCCAUGUAUUCUACCCUGUGCAUCCCAUACAGCUGGAAAUAAAGACAGCCAGCACAUUUC